RNAcentral lists this ribosomal RNA (381 nucleotides) under uncultured eukaryote. RNAcentral describes it as "SSU rRNA". It matches the Rfam family "Eukaryotic small subunit ribosomal RNA", at positions 587 to 972 of the family's 1831-position model. The record is from RNAcentral.
AGCUCCAAUAGCGUAUAUUAAAGUUGUUGCAGUUAGAACGCUCGUAGUCGGAUUUCGGGUCGGGCCGACCGGUCUGCCGAUGGGUACGCACUGGUCGGCGCGUCCUUCCUCUCGGAGACUGUUCCUACUCUUAACUGAGCGGGAGCAGGAUACGGGACUUUUACUUUGAAAAAAUCAGAGUGUUUCAAGCAGGCAGCUCGCUCUUGCAUGGAUUAGCAUGGGAUAAUGAAAUAGGACUUUGGUGCUAUUUUGUUGGUUUCGAACACCGAAGUAAUGAUGAGAAGGGACAGUCAGGGGCACUCGUAUUCCGCCGAGAGAGGUGAAAUUCUCAGACCAGCGGAAGACGAACCACUGCGAAAGCAUUUGCCAGGGAUGUUUUCA